UUCACCAAAAAUAAUAUUUUAACAUACCUUGUGAUCCUCUUGUAUAGGAGAUCAUUAAUUUCAAUCCAUGCAUUAGAUUCCAGCAUUCUUAGCCUUUAGAUUUGAAGAUUAUGAAGAACUAGGCCAAGAUAAUGUUCUUCCCUCUUUUUCUUGCUUCUGGGCGACGCACACACACAAAUCAGUGUGUGUUGUGUUUUAAUUUAUGUUUUUAUGAAUUACUCAUGACUAAUAAACUAGGUUAAUUAACCCUAGUUAUCAUCUUUUAUUCCAUAACUCAUGGAAACCGCACUAGUGGGUUAAAGAUUCAAGUUUUGGGGCGUUACAUUUUAUUAAUAUAUUGGAUUUACACAAGUGAGAAAUGGCUGGAAACACCAAGGGGGUUAGAACAAGGCUUGAAGUUGCAACUAUUUGAAGCUGUUAGAUGCAGGCAGGCUUUAAACUAUUUAUGCAACUAUUUGUAGUUGUUACAUGUAUAGCUCCUUUUGUUUGUAUGGUUCCUGUAUAGCCCAUAUCAUAUGAAUUGGGUUUUAUCAUAUUUUUUCACUAUCAUUUAGUUUAGUUCAACUGUUCAAGUUAUUAUAUUAGUGUAAGUAAAAUCUUUAACCGGUCUAUUUAUGUUAUUUGU
RNAcentral lists this long non-coding RNA (625 nucleotides) under Helianthus annuus (common sunflower). Its description in RNAcentral is "hypothetical non coding rna". Lineage: Eukaryota; Viridiplantae; Streptophyta; Magnoliopsida; Asterales; Asteraceae. The record is from RNAcentral.